AAAAAACAAAAACUUAUUUUAAUAAUAUUAAAUAAAUGGAUGAGAAGAGGAUUGUGUAGGAGGAACGCUAUUAUCAUUAGCGUUUUGGGGUCACAGUCCAACAGCAUUUUACCCCAUAGUGAAUAUACGCUAUUUUUAUUAGGGUUUUACUCUUUGUUUGCUAUUUUUGUUAGCAUUUUGUUGUGCUGCCAGUUUAGAAGUGGGCCACAAUGUAUAAACGCUAUUAUUAUUAGCGUUUUGAUGUUUGUACGCUAUUUUGAUUAGCGUCUUUCUGUCAGUUGACUUUCUUUCACCCCCUUUCUGUAAUUUAGUUCAUUUGCACCUUUUCCCGUAAAUUUAAUACUUCAUUCACACCUGUACGGAAAAAUUCCCAUUAUUUGGUAAUAGCCAAAUGCCCAAAUCAACAGAGAAUUGGUGAAUUUUUUAUGAUUCCCUUGUCUU
This 441-nucleotide unclassified non-coding RNA is filed under the name Hevea brasiliensis (rubber tree). Lineage: Eukaryota; Viridiplantae; Streptophyta; Magnoliopsida; Malpighiales; Euphorbiaceae. The record is from RNAcentral.